This is a long non-coding RNA of Oncorhynchus masou masou (cherry salmon), 290 nucleotides long. RefSeq lists it as uncharacterized. The record is from RefSeq and is a predicted model, not a curated record. Lineage: Eukaryota; Metazoa; Chordata; Actinopteri; Salmoniformes; Salmonidae. The transcript is spliced from 3 exons.
GGCCCAGGAUAAGCUGAUGGUUUGGGUUGACUUGAGAUCCCUGGUGGAUUUUUUCACCAUUGCUCCUUCCUUUGUUACCCUGUUUUCCCGUCGAGCCUGGCUGGGUCUGAGGUUCAUCAGAGCUCUGCACAUACUGGAGUUACCAGUCGUUCUGCAGAUUCUCAACGUCUUCAACAGCAACAGCACCACUCUGAAACUCUCCCGCCUGGUUGCCAUCCUAACAGGCACAUUGCUGACCUCAGCUGGUUUCAUCCACCUGGUGUGUUUGUGUCAUUUCCAUUCGUCUUGGU